GCGACGCCGCGUGAGCGAUGAAGGCCUUCGGGGUGUAAAGCUCUUUCGGCGGGGAAGAUAAUGACGGUACCCGUAGAAGAAGCUGCGGCUAACUACGUGCCAGCAGCCGCGGUAAUACGUAGGCGGCAAGCGUUGUUCGGAAUUACUGGGCGUAAAGGGUGCGUAGGCGGUUUUUUAAGUCUGGUGUGAAAUCUCCCGGCUCAACUGGGAGGGUGCGCCGAAUACUGUCAGGCUAGAGUGUGGGAGAGGAAAGUGGAAUUCCUGGUGUAGCGGUGAAAUGCGUAGAUAUCAGGAGGAACACCUGUGGUGUAAACGGCUUUCUGGACCAUUACUGACGCUGAGGCACGAAAGCGUGGGUAGCAAACAGGAUUAGAUACCCUGGUAGUCCACGCCCUAAACGAUGCAUAUUUGGUGUGGGCCAUUCAUUUG
RNAcentral lists this ribosomal RNA (429 nucleotides) under uncultured Acidobacteriota bacterium. RNAcentral describes it as "bacterial SSU rRNA". It matches the Rfam family "Bacterial small subunit ribosomal RNA", at positions 391 to 838 of the family's 1533-position model. Lineage: Bacteria; Pseudomonadati; Acidobacteriota. The record is from RNAcentral.